This 252-nucleotide ribosomal RNA is filed under the name uncultured bacterium. RNAcentral's name for it is "partial 16S ribosomal RNA". It matches the Rfam family "Bacterial small subunit ribosomal RNA", at positions 524 to 776 of the family's 1533-position model. The record is from RNAcentral.
UACGUAGGGUGCAAGCGUUGUCCGGAAUUAUUGGGCGUAAAGAGCUCGUAGGUGGCCUGUCGCGUCGGCUGUGAAAACUCGGGGCUCAACUCCGAGCUUGCAGUCGAUACGGGCAGGCUAGAGUUCGGCAGGGGAGACUGGAAUUCCUGGUGUGCGGUGAAAUGCGCAGAUAUCAGGAGGAACACCGGUGGCGAAGGCGGGUCUCUGGGCCGAUACUGACACUGAGGAGCGAAAGCGUGGGGAGCGAACAGG